GCACNNAACGCUGUGNGNCAUGCUUAANACAUGCAAGUCGAACGAUGAACCUCCUUCGGGAGGGGAUUAGUGGCGAACGGGUGAGUAACACGUGGGCAAUCUGCCCUUCACUCUGGGACAAGCCCUGGAAACGGGGUCUAAUACCGGAUACGACACGGGGUCGCAUGACCUCCGUGUGGAAAGCUCCGGCGGUGAAGGAUGAGCCCGCGGCCUAUCAGCUUGUUGGUGGGGUGAUGGCCUACCAAGGCGACGACGGGUAGCCGGCCUGAGAGGGCGACCGGCCACACUGGGACUGAGACACGGCCCAGACUCCUACGGGAGGCAGCAGUGGGGAAUAUUGCACAAUGGGCGAAAGCCUGAUGCAGCGACGCCGCGUGAGGGAUGACGGCCUUCGGGUUGUAAACCUCUUUCAGCAGGGAAGAAGCGAAAGUGACGGUACCUGCAGAAGAAGCGCCGGCUAACUACGUGCCAGCAGCCGCGGUAAUACGUAGGGCGCAAGCGUUGUCCGGAAUUAUUGGGCGUAAAGAGCUCGUAGGCGGCUUGUCACGUCGGAUGUGAAAGCCCGGGGCUUAACCCCGGGUCUGCAUUCGAUACGGGCAGGCUAGAGUUCGGUAGGGGAGAUCGGAAUUCCUGGUGUAGCGGUGAAAUGCGCAGAUAUCAGGAGGAACACCGGUGGCGAAGGCGGAUCUCUGGGCCGAUACUGACGCUGAGGAGCGAAAGCGUGGGGAGCGAACAGGAUUAGAUACCCUGGUAGUCCACGCCGUAAACGUUGGGGAACUAGGUGUGGGCCGACAUUUCACGUCGUCCGUGCCCCANCUAACGCAUUAAGUUCCCCGCCUGGGGAGUACGGNCNCAAGGNUAAAACUCAAAGGAAUUGACGGGGGCCCCCCCAAACAGC
RNAcentral lists this ribosomal RNA (898 nucleotides) under Streptomyces sp. LK1113.5. RNAcentral describes it as "bacterial SSU rRNA". It matches the Rfam family "Bacterial small subunit ribosomal RNA", at positions 26 to 933 of the family's 1533-position model. Lineage: Bacteria; Bacillati; Actinomycetota; Actinomycetes; Kitasatosporales; Streptomycetaceae. The record is from RNAcentral.